GACGAACGCUGGCGGCGUGCCUAAUACAUGCAAGUCGAGCGGACCGACCAGGAGCUUGCUCUUGUUCGGUUAGCGGCGGACGGGUGAGUAACACGUGGGUAACCUGCCCGUAAGACCGGGAUAACUCCGGGAAACCGGAGCUAAUACCGGAUAACACCGAAGACCGCAUGGUCUUUGGUUGAAAGGCGGCUUCGGCUGCCACUUACGGAUGGGCCCGCGGCGCAUUAGCUAGUUGGUGAGGUAACGGCUCACCAAGGCGACGAUGCGUAGCCGGCCUGAGAGGGUGACCGGCCACACUGGGACUGAGACACGGCCCAGACUCCUACGGGAGGCAGCAGUAGGGAAUCUUCCGCAAGGGACGAAAGUCUGACGGAGCGACGCCGCGUGGGCGAAGAAGGUCUGCGGAUCGUAAAGCUCUGUUGUUAGGGAAGAAGAAGCGUCGUUCGAACAGGGCGGCGCGGUGACGGUACCUAACGAGAAAGCCCCGGCUAACUACG
RNAcentral lists this ribosomal RNA (497 nucleotides) under uncultured bacterium. RNAcentral's name for it is "partial 16S ribosomal RNA". It matches the Rfam family "Bacterial small subunit ribosomal RNA", at positions 28 to 505 of the family's 1533-position model. The record is from RNAcentral.